Molecule: ribosomal RNA, 750 nt
Filed under: Haemophilus influenzae R3021
Lineage: Bacteria; Pseudomonadati; Pseudomonadota; Gammaproteobacteria; Pasteurellales; Pasteurellaceae
Description: bacterial SSU rRNA
Rfam family: Bacterial small subunit ribosomal RNA
Source: RNAcentral
ACUUGAAUUGAAGAGUUUGAUCAUGGCUCAGAUUGAACGCUGGCGGCAGGCUUAACACAUGCAAGUCGAACGGUAGCAGGAGAAAGCUUGCUUUCUUGCUGACGAGUGGCGGACGGGUGAGUAAUGCUUGGGAAUCUGGCUUAUGGAGGGGGAUAACGACGGGAAACUGUCGCUAAUACCGCGUAUUAUCGGAAGAUGAAAGUGCGGGACUGAGAGGCCGCAUGCCAUAGGAUGAGCCCAAGUGGGAUUAGGUAGUUGGUGGGGUAAAGGCCUACCAAGCCUGCGAUCUCUAGCUGGUCUGAGAGGAUGACCAGCCACACUGGAACUGAGACACGGUCCAGACUCCUACGGGAGGCAGCAGUGGGGAAUAUUGCGCAAUGGGGGGAACCCUGACGCAGCCAUGCCGCGUGAAUGAAGAAGGCCUUAGGGUUGUAAAGUUCUUUCGGUAUUGAGGAAAGGUGAUGUGUUAAUAGCACUCCAAAUUGACCUUAAAUACAGAAAAAACACCCGCUAACUCCCGUGCCACCAUCCACGGUAAUACCCAGGGUGCAAGGGUUUAAUCGGAAUAACUGGCCGUAAAGGGCAACCCAGCUGUUUUUUAAGUUAAGUGUGAAAACCCCCGGCCUUAACCCUACCAAUUCGCUUUCAAACUUGGGUAACUAAAGAACUUUAAGGGAGGGGGAGAUCUUCCCCAUGCAACGGUUAAAAUGGUAAGAAAAUUUGACGAAAUACCAAUAGGGGAAGGUCUCG